Molecule: ribosomal RNA, 445 nt
Filed under: uncultured bacterium
Lineage: Bacteria
Description: partial 16S ribosomal RNA
Rfam family: Bacterial small subunit ribosomal RNA
Source: RNAcentral
CCUACGGGCGGCAGCAGUCGAGAAUCAUUCACAAUGGGGAAACCCUGAUGGUGCGACGCCGCGUGGGGGAAUGAAGGUCUUCGGAUUGUAAACCCCUGUCAUGUGGGAGCAAAUUAACAAGAUAGUACCACAAGAGGAAGAGACGGCUAACACUGUGCCAGCAGCCGCGGGAAUACAGAGGUCUCACGCGUUGUUCGGAACCACUGGGCGUAAAGCGUGUGUUGGCUGUUUCGUAAGUCGUGUGUGAAAGGCGCGGGCUCAACCCGCGGACGGCACAUGAUACUGCGAGACUAGAGUAAUGGAGGGGGAACCGGAAUUCUCGGUGUAGCAGUGAAAUGCGUAGAUAUCGAGAGGAACACUCGUGGCGAAGGCGGGUUCCUGGACAUUAACUGACGCUGAGGCACGAAGGCCAGGGGAGCGAAAGGGAUUAGAUACCCUAGUAGUC